CAUAAAAAGUAACAGGUUUUUCUAAUUCCUAAUUUUAUGUUGAAGGUUGACAGGAAGUGAUCCGUCAUGACCUGUCUCUCGGUAUUAAUGACGUCUAUUAAGCCUUAACCGCUAGUCUUAAUUGCUGUAACUUUAAUCAAAGGUGUCACGUUAAAAAUCGAAUUUAGCUAGAAAACAUCCAAUUAUAUUGUCAUAUAUUUUAGUUGUUAAUGUUAAAAAAAAUCAACACGUUUAGUCUCAUUCAAAGCCCGACGAUUAUCUUAACUUAUACUCCAUUGCUCAUACAGUUGGUUCGCUCCGUUACGGUCUUCUAGGUUCAAAUCGUAGGUGGCAUUUCUAAAAAUUAAGGUCGCCGAUUAAACAAAGGCAUUUAUGGAACAUAAAUAUCUCCCUCAUCUAUGGGCUUGCAUUCAACAUAAGACCGCUUUGCGGGCCGGAAGUGAACUUCGCCCAGAAUUGAUUUCCUCAAAUAUCACAACAUGGCACCGGCUUCCGAUCUUACGUGAAUCGGAAGUGACCUCAGCACGUCAACGGAGACGUCGGCUUCCAAAAUAAAAGACAGUUUAGCUUUUCCAUGUUGAAUUUAUUUGUACCCAUUGCAGUUUUAUAUCUGAAAUUUUAUAUAAAGUCAUAGGACCUGAAAUGUAUAAAAACACAUCAAUGAAAGCAGCAGGGAUGUUCUAUUUUAAUCUCCCUUCCUACUAUGAUCUUACUGACACCUCCAGCAUCACAAAUGGAAAGGUGAUGACCUAAAAUAAUCACACAUCUUGUAACUUUUCUUUCAAAAGUAUUUUAUUUCCAUAUUUUUAUCAAGCAACUUUUUUCAGAUUUCUUUUAUAUUAAUGUAAUUAAAAAAAGAUAAAACUUGGGAUCUUUGUCGUUAUGUACAAGCAAUAAAACAAUGUUCAAGAAAUAACAAUGAACAUAAAGAAUCCCUUCACAAUAACACUGUAAAAAAAUAAGAAAAAGAACUUGAAUCAAACAAUUGUAAUUAACCGCUCUGCACUUAAGCAACAAGCUCAUUCAUACACAUACACGCAGACAGAGCAGGUUCUCAGUAGGUUUAGUUGAGGUGUAUGGUGAAGUGGUGAGACUCAGGCCACAAGCUCACAUAUCACAGCAUAGCCAAGGAACGGACACCAUAAUAAUGUGCCAAAUGAACAUGUGUCAUUCAUAUGUUUUGCGCGCACACACAUACAUUUCUGUCUGAGUCACAGCAACAUUUUAACAGCAUGCAGCGCAAGUGGUCGUCUGUAUGAUGGUCCAGUGCAGAUUAGAUCUUCUCUUUAUACAACCACAAGAGCAAAACCCAAAGCCUGACAACCUGUUCCAACACAUUAGCAUCUACACACUAGGAGCCUAGUGUUUCUAAUGUGAGGCCAACUUAUGGCACAACUUAGAAAACCACAGAUUGGUUUCUUUGCAUUUAUUGUAAUUAUUCGUUUUGCUGGGAUCUAACAAAUUCAUACAGAAAAUUGCCAAAGUAUGGAAGACCAAUUCAGUAUUUCUAUAUCUAAUAAAAAGGAUAUUGAUUUAACCCUUAGGAGUCAACCAUCAUCCCAGCAUGGUCAAAUUACAUGACUGGCUUAAGAUAUUGUGACAUAAAAAACAAAAAUAAAAUCAAUAAAAAACAA
Molecule: long non-coding RNA, 1634 nt
Organism: Betta splendens (Siamese fighting fish)
Lineage: Eukaryota; Metazoa; Chordata; Actinopteri; Anabantiformes; Osphronemidae
Exons: 2
Source: RefSeq, a predicted model, not a curated record